Molecule: ribosomal RNA, 806 nt
Filed under: uncultured Bacteroidota bacterium
Lineage: Bacteria; Pseudomonadati; Bacteroidota
Description: bacterial SSU rRNA
Rfam family: Bacterial small subunit ribosomal RNA
Source: RNAcentral
CAUGCAAGUCGAACGGGAUUCGGGGUAGCAAUACUUUGAUGAGAGUGGCGCACGGGUGCGUAACGCGUAUGCAACCUACCUUUAACAGGGGAAUAGCCCCGAGAAAUCGGGAUUAAUACUCCGUAACAUUGCGGUGUGGCAUCACACUGCAAUUAAAGAUUUAUCGGUUAAAGAUGGGCAUGCGUCACAUUAGCUAGUUGGUAGGGUAACGGCCUACCAAGGCGACGAUCAGUAGGGGUUCUGAGAGGAUGAUCCCCCACACUGGUACUGAGACACGGACCAGACUCCUACGGGAGGCAGCAGUGAGGAAUAUUGGUCAAUGGGCGCAAGCCUGAACCAGCCAUCCCGCGUGCAGGAUGACGGCCCUAUGGGUUGUAAACUGCUUUUAUCUGGGAAGAAACCCCCGCUCGUGAUCGGGACUUGACGGUACCUGAAGAAUAAGCAUCGGCUAACUCCGUGCCAGCAGCCGCGGUAAUACGGAGGAUGCAAGCGUUAUCCGGAUUCAUUGGGUUUAAAGGGUGCGCAGGCGGAUUGGUAAGUCAGGGGUGAAAUCCCACAGCUCAACUGUGGAACUGCCUUUGAUACUGUCAGUCUAGAGUAUAGUUGAAGUUGGCGGAAUGUGUCAUGUAGCGGUGAAAUGCUUAGAUAUGACACAGAACACCGAUCGCGAAGGCAGCUAGCUAAGCUAUAACUGACGCUCAUGCACGAAAGCGUGGGGAUCAAACAGGAUUAGAUACCCUGGUAGUCCACGCCCUAAACGAUGAUUACUCGAUGUUGGCGAUACACAGUCAGCGUCUGAGCGAAAG